GAUGAAGAACGUAGCGAAAUGCGAUACUUGGUGUGAAUUGCAGAAUCCCGUGAACCAUCGAGUCUUUGAACGCAAGUUGCGCCCGAAGCCGUCAGGCCGAGGGCACGCCUGCCUGGGCGUCACACGCCGUUGCCCCCCCGCGCCCCGCACCCAACUCUUUGGGAGCGACCGCGGGGCGGGCUGAUGAUGGCCUCCCGUGCGCUCCGCCGCGCGGUUGGCCCAAAUACCGAGUCCCCGGCGACGUGCGCCACGACGAUCGGUGGUUGAGAGACCUCUGUCGCAAGUCGUGCGCGCCCAUCGCGUCACGCGGGCUCGCAUAGCGCCUCGCGCCGCACCCGGUGCGGAGCUUUCAACGCGACCCCAGGUCAGGCGGGGUUACCCGCUGAAUUUAAGCAUAUCAAUAAGCGGAGGA
Molecule: unclassified non-coding RNA, 412 nt
Filed under: soil metagenome
Description: partial contains 5.8S ribosomal RNA, internal transcribed spacer 2, and large subunit ribosomal RNA
Rfam family: 5.8S ribosomal RNA (bases 1-122)
Source: RNAcentral